CUUUUCUCCUCAAGUCCUGAAGUUGAGUUUGAGAGGCGACACGGCGGCGGCGGCCGCGCUGCUCCCGCUCCUCUGCCUCCCCAUGGAUAUGCACUGCAAAGCAGACCCCUUCUCCGCGAUGCACCAAUCAUCCGGACCAAAGUUCAGCAGCCUUUCCACCCAACGCCGGAUGGGGCUGGGACAGGAGUGACCGCCCCUGGCCACACCAUUGUUCCCAGCACGGCCUCCCCUCCUGUUUCCAGCGCCUCCAAUGACCCAGUGGGAUCCUACUCCAUCAAUGGGAUCCUGGGGAUUCCUCGCUCCAAUGGUGAGAAGAGGAAACGUGAUGAAGAUGUGUCCGAGGGCUCAGUCCCCAAUGGAGAUUCCCAGAGUGGUGUGGACAGUUUGCGGAAGCACUUGCGAGCUGACACCUUCACCCAGCAGCAGCUGGAAGCUUUGGAUCGAGUCUUUGAGCGUCCUUCCUACCCUGACGUCUUCCAGGCAUCAGAGCACAUCAAAUCAGAACAGGGGAACGAGUACUCCCUCCCAGCCCUGACCCCUGGGCUUGAUGAAGUCAAGUCGAGUCUAUCUGCAUCCACCAAC
RNAcentral lists this small RNA (582 nucleotides) under Pan troglodytes (chimpanzee). Its description in RNAcentral is "processed transcript". The record is from RNAcentral. Lineage: Eukaryota; Metazoa; Chordata; Mammalia; Primates; Hominidae.